This 62-nucleotide non-coding RNA is filed under the name Synechococcus sp. RNAcentral describes it as "Glutamine-II sequence". It matches the Rfam family "Glutamine-II riboswitch aptamer". From Rfam's summary of the family: The major groove of the PK provides the binding site for L-glutamine Lineage: Bacteria; Bacillati; Cyanobacteriota; Cyanophyceae; Synechococcales; Synechococcaceae. The record is from RNAcentral. RNAcentral also lists the same sequence under 1 other name.
AAACGUUCACUCCGCACCUCGCGGAGCGCAGUUCGACUCAGGCCAUGGAACGGGGACCUGAG